AGCCCAAACCCUACAGUCCUUUUCUGCUCAUCUGUCCUCUAUGAAGGGUUCUUUGGCACAGGUUUCCUGGCUGCACUCAGAGUUUUAUUAUCUUCUUCCAAGGAUGUGGACUUUAUUAAAAUGGAGUAAUAAAGGUUUCGUCAGUGUUUGGAUUCUACCACUGAACUGAAUGGAAAGCAAAGAGAAAGAAAACAUUUUGUCCUGAGCCCAGAGCAUGGGUAUC
Molecule: long non-coding RNA, 223 nt
Organism: Suricata suricatta (meerkat)
Lineage: Eukaryota; Metazoa; Chordata; Mammalia; Carnivora; Herpestidae
Exons: 3
Source: RefSeq, a predicted model, not a curated record